AACUCCUGACCUCAAGUGAUCCGCCCACCUCGGCCUCCCAAAGUGCUGGGAUUACAGGCAUGAGCCACCGCUCCGGGCCCUUGCACAUAUUUUUUUAUGAACACACAGGCAGCAGCACUUUGAUUACAGUAACUUACAUGGAAGUUAUUUUAAAAUGGCUUUCCCCUUCUCUUUUUCAUGUAGGCUGCAUUUUUCAUCUGCAGCACGCUUUCUCUCAAGAAUCUCAAGCACACACAAGAAACCAGAGAGUAAAAUCACUGAGGCGUGAACACAUCCAGAGACCAAGGGCGUCACUGGCAGAAAAGCUUUUAGGCGGAUCCACGGCCCGAGAGCCACCCUGCCCAGAGACGCGGUUUCCUAGGAGCAGUUCACACGCGGCUCUGCAGCACCCACAAGCGGGGCCAGGGGCUGGUUUUCAUAGUUCACAGUCUGCAGGGAUCUUAACAAAAACAUGGCCGUGGUAAAAGUGCCUAGACCAGGCUUUCGUCACAACUCAUCAUGUUACUAGGUUAGGAUAAUAAAAAGGACUGUGAACUUCACAUCUGCCAUCUAUAAUAGAUUCUUAUUGUAGCAAUCUUGCACCAAGGGGAUUUCUUUAUUAACUCUGCCAAAUUUUCCAAAAUUACCAAAUGGAGAAAAGAGCUGGUCCCAUCUGUCACCAGGCACAACCAGGAAGUGUCAGAAGACUUUCAGAAGCACAUGCAGUUGCAGCUCCAGUGUUUCAACAGUUGCCCAUUUCCAAGGCCUCCUAAAUACGUAUGAGGCCUGUGGACAACUUUCUCCUCAGCUGUUACAGGAGGCUAAAAAACUUGCCCAACGUCACAUGGCUGGGAGUGGAAGAGCCAGGAAGAGUCCAGGAGGUAUGACUCCAGACCAGGCCUCUGGACCACUGCACUCCCACUACCUCUCCAGGCAGGGAUGCAGUCAUCAGUCAAUAGAAGCAGUCCACACAAACCAACCCU
RNAcentral lists this long non-coding RNA (962 nucleotides) under Homo sapiens (human). RNAcentral describes it as "HSALNT0375457". The record is from RNAcentral. Lineage: Eukaryota; Metazoa; Chordata; Mammalia; Primates; Hominidae.